Non-coding RNA from Nicotiana tabacum (common tobacco), 1564 nucleotides. NCBI's taxonomy places the organism in Eukaryota, Viridiplantae, Streptophyta, Magnoliopsida, Solanales, Solanaceae. The record is from RefSeq and is a predicted model, not a curated record.
UCAUGGUAUACCUACGCAUCGUAUACCAAGAAUAGUAGGAAUACCAUUUAACAUGCUCAAAUAAAAUAUACCAUAAUCAAUAGCAAUCAUGGUAAUGUAGUAUACCCUAAAUUAUUGGAAAUACCAUUUAACAUAUUCAAAUAAAUUUUACCAUUAUUUAUUACACAAUUUACCAAGAAAAUAGUAUUGCCACACAACAUGCUCAAACAAAAUAUAACAUGAUUCAACAGUAAUCAUGACAUACUACACAUUAUAUUGAGAAUACCAAUUAAAUACUCAAAUAAAGCAUGCAAUGAAGAUUUGGUAAAUAAAAGUACAUCGAUAUAUUAAUAAUUAUUUGUUAAAUUUGGAUUAUAUAUAUAUCUUAUCUAUCUCUAUCUAUAUUAUAGAAGAGAAGGAAUUUCGACAUGGCUGCUUACAUGUCUUUUAAUCUUUGUUUAAGGGCAUUUUGGGACCUUUAACAAAAUCAAAUAAAACGUGUCCUUUAAAUACAAACCUAUACACUGAUAUAUAUCUCUAUACCGACGUGGCUCUAUACCUACGUCUACGUGUUUACUGCUUAUCACUCCACGUGUUACUGACUCUUCUUUCUUCUUCGUUUUUCGUACUUCAGAGAACUGUUUCUUCGGUGAUUAUGUUCUUGCUGCCUAUUCUGUCUAUAGGUCUUGUUUAUCAAUUUUUGUCCAUUGCUUCUUCUCUUUUUUCUCCAUCUUUUUUUUCUUCCCACGCUUCUUUAGGGUUCUCUUCAGGCUUUUUAAUUUUGCAAUUUAAUGGUGUUGUCUGUUAAAAUCUGCAGUGUGAUUGGAAGGAGAUACGAUAAAGUAAUAGAUAAUGAUUUAACUUGGUUGGAAUUCUACACCAGUUUUAUCCAAGAUAACAGUAAUGGUCCAGUUACAGUAGGUCUACCGCCAGCGUGGGUGGAUGUGUCAGAAGAAAUCAUGGGUAAUGUGUAACGGGUGCGAACAAAGAUGGCUGAGCUAGCCAAAGCUCAUGCUAAAGCGUUAAUGCCAUCAUUUGGAGAUGGUAAGGAAGAUCAGCGUCGUAUUGAGGCUCUUACCCAUGAAAUAACUGGUCUUCUCAAAAGAUCAGAAAAGAAAUUUCAAAGACUUUCUGCAGCUGGACCUUCCGAGGAUUCAAAUGUUAGGAAAAAUGUACAGGAAAAAAUAAAGAUAAAUUAUAAAGUCAUGGUGAUAAUCUAUGCAGCUAUAGUUUACGAGUAUGCUGGGAAUGCUUUAGCACUUAAAGGCUUCAAAGUUGUUUUGGAGAUAAGUUGCAGAAGUAAAAGCAUAUGAGUCUCUUAGCUUAUCAUUAUUGUGGUACAUACGCUUUGGAAUAAGGAACAUCUUAUACACUCAAGACAGCAAGCAAAGUUGUGCAAAGGAAUUGUGCUGGUGUUGUUUUUCUACUGAAUAUGAGAGUAUUGCUCUAAAUCUAUACUUUGUUCAAUCUUUAACCUCCAUCCCUGCUUAGAAAGAAUUAAGCUCAAACAACUUAAAAUGGAAGCUGUGGGGAGGGUCUCUUGUUAUUGUUGCUUGUUAAGAAAUUACCUAAAUCUCUUCCUAUA